GUGGGGAAUAUUGCACAAUGGGCGCAAGCCUGAUGCAGCCAUGCCGCGUGUGUGAAGAAGGCCUUCGGGUUGUAAAGCACUUUCAGCGGGGAGGAAGGCGAUAAGGUUAAUAACCUUGUCGAUUGACGUUACCCGCAGAAGAAGCACCGGCUAACUCCGUGCCAGCAGCCGCGGUAAUACGGAGGGUGCAAGCGUUAAUCGGAAUUACUGGGCGUAAAGCGCACGCAGGCGGUCGGUCAAGUCGGAUGUGAAAUCCCCGGGCUCAACCUGGGAACUGCAUUCGAAACUGGCAGGCUAGAGUCUUGUAGAGGGGGGUAGAAUUCUAGGUGUAGCGGUGAAAUGCGUAGAGAUCUGGAGGAAUACCGGUGGCGAAGGCGGCCCCCUGGACAAAGACUGACGCUCAGGUGCGAAAGCGUGGGGAGCAAACAGG
Molecule: ribosomal RNA, 430 nt
Filed under: uncultured Idiomarina sp.
Lineage: Bacteria; Pseudomonadati; Pseudomonadota; Gammaproteobacteria; Alteromonadales; Idiomarinaceae
Description: bacterial SSU rRNA
Rfam family: Bacterial small subunit ribosomal RNA
Source: RNAcentral